AUUGAACGCUGGCGGCAGGCCUAACACAUGCAAGUCGAGCGAGCGGCGGACGGGUGAGUAAUGUCUGGGAAAAUGCCUGAUGGAGGGGGAUAACUACUGGAAACGGUAGCUAAUACCGCAUACCAUCAGAUGUGCCCAGAUGGGAUUGGCUAGUAGGUGGGGUAAUGGCUCACCUAGGCGACGAUCCCUAGCUGGUCUGAGAGGAUGACCAGCCACACUGGGACUGAGACACGGUCCAGACUCCUACGUGAGGCAGCAGUGGGGAAUUUUGCACAAUGGGCGCAAGCCUGAUGCAGCCAUGCCGCGUGUGUGAAGAAGGCCUUCGGGUUGUAAAGCACUUUCUGCGGGGAGGCGUUACCCGCAGAAGAAGCACCGGCUAACUCCGUGCCAGCAGCCGCGGUAAUUC
Molecule: ribosomal RNA, 406 nt
Filed under: uncultured bacterium
Lineage: Bacteria
Description: partial 16S ribosomal RNA
Rfam family: Bacterial small subunit ribosomal RNA
Source: RNAcentral